RNAcentral lists this ribosomal RNA (253 nucleotides) under uncultured bacterium. RNAcentral's name for it is "partial 16S ribosomal RNA". It matches the Rfam family "Bacterial small subunit ribosomal RNA", at positions 524 to 776 of the family's 1533-position model. The record is from RNAcentral.
GACGUAGGGCGCGAGCGUUGUCCGGAAUUAUUGGGCGUAAAGAGCUUGUAGGCGGUUUGUCGCGUCUGCCGUGAAAAUUCGAGGCUCAACCUCGAACUUGCGGUGGGUACGGGCAGACUAGAGUGUGGUAGGGGAGACUGGGAUUCCUGGUGUAGCGGUGAAAUGCGCAGAUAUCAGGAGGAACACCGAUGGCGAAGGCAGGUUUCUGGGCCACUACUGACGCUGAGAAGCGAAAGCAUGGGGAGCGAACAGG